UACGGAGGGUGCAAGCGUUAUCCGGAUUCACUGGGUUUAAAGGGUGCGUAGGUGGCUAUAUAAGUCAGUGGUGAAAGCCCCGCGGCUCAACCGUGGAAUUGCCAUUGAAACUGCAUAGCUUGAGUACAGUUGAAGUGGGCGGAAUACAUCAUGUAGCGGUGAAAUGCUUAGAUAUGAUGUAGAACACCGAUUGCGAAGGCAGCUCACUAAGCUGUAACUGACACUGAGGCACGAAAAGCGUGGGGUAGCGAACAGG
Molecule: ribosomal RNA, 256 nt
Filed under: uncultured bacterium
Lineage: Bacteria
Description: partial 16S ribosomal RNA
Rfam family: Bacterial small subunit ribosomal RNA
Source: RNAcentral